UAGUCCAUGCUGUAAAUUAUGCUCGCUAGGUGUGUAGAACCCUCGAGGUGCUAUGUGCCGUAAGCUAACGCGUUAAGCGAGCCGCCUGAGUAGUAUAGUCGCAAGGCUGAAACUCAAAGGGAUAGGCGGGGGAACACACAAGCAGUGGAUUGCCUCGAUUAAUUUGAUAAUAAGCAAAGAAUCUUACCUAGGCUUGACAUCUUCUGAAUCCUAUCGAAAGACUGGAGUGCCAGCUUGCUGGAGCAGAAUGACAGGUGCUGCAUGGCCGUCGUCAGCUCGUGCCGCAAGGUGUCCGGUUAAGUCCGGAAACGAGCGCAACCCUCAUCGUUAGUUAGGAUGUCUAGCGAGACUGCCUCCGUAAGGAGGAGGAAGGAGAGGAUGAUGUCAGGUCACUAUGGCCCUUAUGCCUAGGGCGUCAGAGACAAUACAAUGGGUAGUACAACAGGUAGCCAAGCCGUGAGGCGGAGCCGAAUCCUCUAAAA
RNAcentral lists this ribosomal RNA (482 nucleotides) under uncultured bacterium. RNAcentral's name for it is "bacterial SSU rRNA". It matches the Rfam family "Bacterial small subunit ribosomal RNA", at positions 791 to 1281 of the family's 1533-position model. The record is from RNAcentral.